RNAcentral lists this ribosomal RNA (468 nucleotides) under uncultured bacterium. RNAcentral's name for it is "partial 16S ribosomal RNA". It matches the Rfam family "Bacterial small subunit ribosomal RNA", at positions 28 to 507 of the family's 1533-position model. The record is from RNAcentral.
GACGAACGCUGGCGGCGUGCUUAACACAUGCAAGUCGAACGGAAAGGCCCUGCUUUUGUGGGGUGCUCGAGUGGCGAACGGGUGAGUAACACGUGAGUAACCUGCCCUUGACUUUGGGAUAACUUCAGGAAACUGGGGCUAAUACCGGAUAGGAGCUCCUGCUGCAUGGUGGGGGUUGGAAAGUUUCGGCGGUUGGGGAUGGACUCGCGGCUUAUCAGCUUGUUGGUGGGGUAGUGGCUUACCAAGGCUUUGACGGGUAGCCGGCCUGAGAGGGUGACCGGCCACAUGGGGACUGAGAUACGGCCCAGACUCCUACGGGAGGCAGCAGUGGGGAAUAUUGCAGAAUGGGCGGAAGCCUGAUGCAGCAACGCCGCGUGCGGGAUGACGGCCUUCGGGUUGUAAACCGCUUUCGCCUGUGACGAAGCGUGAUUGACGGUAAUGGGUAAAGAAGCACCGGCUAACUACGUG